This 2183-nucleotide long non-coding RNA is filed under the name Olea europaea subsp. europaea. The record is from RNAcentral. Lineage: Eukaryota; Viridiplantae; Streptophyta; Magnoliopsida; Lamiales; Oleaceae.
CAGGAUCAAACUAGCUACAUCGAUUAUAGACAAUAUGGAUUUACAGUUAGAUGCUGCCUAGCCAACUCUACUAGACUUGUCAAUCUACUUUCUGUAGCCUCCAAGAUUCUGCUGAAACCACCAGCUCCUGAUCUCCAACAAUUGUCUCCUCCAAGUGGAUCACCAAGAAUGACUGAUUCUUAUACUCUUCCUAUGCUCGUAGUCCAAACACUAUUAAUCUUCAGUAGCGUCGGAAGUUUAAUUGAGAAAGUACCUUUCUAAGGGUAUUUAGGAAGUAGGUAUUUUGAAUUGAAUGGAUUCGGUGUUUUCCCCCAGCUGUGGCUACAUAAUCUCAAGAGUAAGUGAAUUGAAUCAGUGCAUGAACAAGCUCUUGAAUCUCUAAAAAAAUUUUAUGAAUGUUUUAUAGAGAAGAGGCACAAUGAACAACCAUACAAAAUUUCAUGACAGGCAUUGAGUAUUUGUAGUUGAGGGCAAUUAGGGAGUUUGAACCGUAUAAAACUCUACAAAAGUGUGGAGCAGGAUCUACGUGUAACACUAUUGUUCGAGCGAGGUGUUAGCAAUAGGCGAGUGAAGGCUCGUUGCUAGAGCAGAGAUGAGCGACACAUGAGUUACGAGAUUUCUGUUUUUACCGCUUGAGCAAUGUCGAGGCGGUAGGUUGGCAAAAUUACGAAGUCUCUUCUUUCCUUAUUCCGAACUUGAACCCUAACCUAGGUAACUCAACUAUACAAUAUUGCAACUAACUCCAUGACUUUUUACAAAAAAAUUAUUUCGAUCCCUUUGUUCACAAAAUUGCCGAUUACAUAAAACCUAACAAACUCCUCUUUGGCAUUCCGUGACAAAACUAUACAAUUAUAGUUAAGGUGGUAAAAACACAAAAAUCUAAUCUACCCAAGCUCUAAUUUCUUGCAUUCCUUGUUGAACCCCGUUUCCUGAAAUUAACAACUCAAAUACUAAAUAUAAAAGCAACGUGAUACAGGAAAUAUAACAAUAUAGGCACAUGAUCAUAAAUAAGCAUGCUAAAAUGAGAAAUAAUAUUAAUGUCAAUCAAAACAUCAUCCAAAACAUUAAUAAUACGAAACAUCAAAAACUUAAACAGCUAUGCUUUUUGCAAUGAUCAAUCUUUUCCUUAGUGCAAACUCUAAUCAAUUAGUCAUCUCGCUCCCACUAACAUGCAGUUUUCUCUCAAGAUAUAAUGAUAUAGAUAAUAUAGUCUCUUCCUCUAUAUCCUCUCUCCAUAUCUAAAUAACCAUUUUCUCCCCUUUUUGUCACAAAUAAAAAAAAUCAAUAUCAAAAUUGUUUUAACAUCAAUAUAUAAUAACUCAAAAUAUGAAGUUGAUUACAUGCACAAGCAUAAUCAAUGAUCAGUAAACCUUCCCACAUAUACAAGUCAAGUUAAGAUGGAGUAAAAUAUAGAAGUGACCCAUGUGUGUAAAGCGUCAUUAAUCCUUUAUAAACAGGAAUCCAUACCUUAAUUUUAUGAGAAGGGACAUAUUAAACAUCAUUGUCAAUAAGUUUAUUUUUUUAUUUAUGAAAGUCAAACCAUUUAAAGUACAUUAGGACAUUUAAAUAAAAGCUCAUUUGGUAUGGAUAUUUUCUUUUUCUCUCCCUGACUUUGAGCAUACAUAAAUUUUUCAUAUCAUUCAAUAUUUUUUAAGCUCGUCAUAUUUUUACAUCUUGAGUGCAGGUCCUUCUCCAUUAAAAGACUAAGAUGACUCCUGUAGCGAGUUUUAGUCCGAUUAACCCAAGUUAGUUGACUAUUGGCUUGCAUCAGGUUAUGAAAAAUCCCGCAGACUUAACUGUUCAAGUCAAAUAUGCUCUAAAGAAUAACAUAAGAUAUUGAGCUUUUUAUUACAGGGUUUAAAGUUGAGCUUAGAUCUAAUAAAUAAGGUCAAUUCAUAUUCAAAAUCAUCUUACUAACAUGUGACUGUCAUCUAAAAUCUCACACAUGCAGUUGAGUCCUACUAACAAUAUCGUAGUACGUGCAAUGCAGAUUGUCCAUGAAGACACAUAUACUAAGUAUUCUAUAAUAUCCUAAGCAAGCAAUAGAAACUAUGCUACAACUCAUCAAUUAAACCAAUACUUGAUCACAGCAAACAAAUUCAAGUAUAUUAUACAUCAUGUUGUAAAAACAAUUAUCUGUUCCCUUUUCCCAUUUUCUUCGUAUUUUUCAAUUUUCAAAAUUU